Molecule: ribosomal RNA, 426 nt
Filed under: uncultured Pseudomonadaceae bacterium
Lineage: Bacteria; Pseudomonadati; Pseudomonadota; Gammaproteobacteria; Pseudomonadales; Pseudomonadaceae
Description: bacterial SSU rRNA
Rfam family: Bacterial small subunit ribosomal RNA
Source: RNAcentral
GGGGAAUAUUGGACAAUGGGCGAAAGCCUGAUCCAGCCAUGCCGCGUGUGUGAAGAAGGUCUUCGGAUUGUAAAGCACUUUAAGUUGGUAGGAAGGGCAGUAAGUUAAUACCUUGCUGUUCUGACGUUACCAACAGAAUAAGCACCGGCUAACUUCGUGCCAGCAGCCGCGGUAAUACGAAGGGUGCAAGCGUUAAUCGGAAUUACUGGGCGUAAAGCGCGCGUAGGUGGUUCGUUAAGUUGGAUGUGAAAGCCCCGGGCUCAACCUGGGAACUGCAUCCAAAACUGGCGAGCUAGAGUAUGGCAGAGGGUGGUGGAAUUUCCUGUGUAGCGUUGAAAUGCCUAGAUAUAGGAAGGAACACCAGUGGCGAAGGCGACCACCUGGCUCGGUACUGACGCUGAGGUGCGAAAGCGUGGGGAGGAAACA